GACGAACGCUGGCGGCGUGCUUAACACAUGCAAGUCGAACGGAAAGGCCCUGCUUGCAGGGUACUCGAGUGGCGAACGGGUGAGUAACACGUGUGUGAUCUGCCCUGCACUUCGUGAUAAGCCUGGGAAACUGUGUCUAAUACCGGAUAGGAGCCAUUUUUCGUGUUAUUGUUGGAAAGUUUUUUGGGUGUAGGAUGAGCUCGCGGCCUAUCAGCUUGUUGGUGGGGUAAUGGCCUACCAAGGCGGCGACGGGUAGCCGGCCUGAGAGGGUGGACGGCCACAUUGGGACUGGGAUACGGCCCAGAACCCGACGGGAAGGAGGAGGGGGGAAUAUUGGACAAUGGGCGCAAGCCUGAUGCAGCGACGCCGCGUGGGGGAUGACGGGCUUCGGGUUGUAAACUCCUUUCGCUAGGGACGAAGCUUUUUGUGACGGUACCUAGAUAAGAAGCACCGGCUAACUACGUG
Molecule: ribosomal RNA, 465 nt
Filed under: uncultured bacterium
Lineage: Bacteria
Description: partial 16S ribosomal RNA
Rfam family: Bacterial small subunit ribosomal RNA
Source: RNAcentral